GAAGAUUUGUCGAAAAAGUUGUUGAGUGUUUGGCUUAAUGGUGUGUUUAUCCUUACUGUAGUUUUUGUCAAUCAUCUUGCUAAACUCAGCAGGAUCAUGGAAGCUAUCGUAGACAGAUUGUUAACCAAUAGAUUUUUUACUCAGCUUGUAAAUUCUCUUUUAAGCUAGAUUAUAGGUUCUUUUGUUUUGUUUUCAGGGUUUCAAAAGGAUGAAUAUUGAUAUAACUUAACUUUUUUUAGUGACACAAACA
Molecule: long non-coding RNA, 250 nt
Filed under: Lathyrus oleraceus (garden pea)
Lineage: Eukaryota; Viridiplantae; Streptophyta; Magnoliopsida; Fabales; Fabaceae
Description: Pisum sativum (pea) long non-coding RNA (PSAT_LNC041765)
Source: RNAcentral